AUUGAACGCUGGCGGCAGGCCUAACACAUGCAAGUCGAGCGGAUGAAGGGAGCUUGCUCCUGGAUUCAGCGGCGGACGGGUGAGUAAUGCCUAGGAAUCUGCCUGGUAGUGGGGGAUAACGUCCGGAAACGGGCGCUAAUACCGCAUACGUCCUGAGGGAGAAAGUGGGGGAUCUUCGGACCUCACGCUAUCAGAUGAGCCUAGGUCGGAUUAGCUAGUUGGUGGGGUAAAGGCCUACCAAGGCGACGAUCCGUAACUGGUCUGAGAGGAUGAUCAGUCACACUGGAACUGAGACACGGUCCAGACUCCUACGGGAGGCAGCAGUGGGGAAUAUUGGACAAUGGGCGAAAGCCUGAUCCAGCCAUGCCGCGUGUGUGAAGGAGGUCUUCGGAUUGUAAAGCACUUUAAGUUGGGAGGAAGGGCAGUAAGUUAAUACCUUGCUGCUUUGACGUUACCAACAGAAUAAGCACCGGCUAACUUCGUG
This 484-nucleotide ribosomal RNA is filed under the name uncultured bacterium. Its description in RNAcentral is "partial 16S ribosomal RNA". It matches the Rfam family "Bacterial small subunit ribosomal RNA", at positions 30 to 507 of the family's 1533-position model. The record is from RNAcentral.